RNAcentral lists this ribosomal RNA (573 nucleotides) under Rhodotorula glutinis. RNAcentral's name for it is "eukaryotic LSU rRNA". It matches the Rfam family "Eukaryotic large subunit ribosomal RNA", at positions 71 to 656 of the family's 3401-position model. The record is from RNAcentral. Lineage: Eukaryota; Fungi; Basidiomycota; Microbotryomycetes; Sporidiobolales; Sporidiobolaceae.
AAAGUUCCCCUAGUAGCGGCGAGCGAAGCGGGAAGAGCUCAAAUUUAUAAUCUGGCACCUUCGGUGUCCGAGUUGUAAUCUCUAGAAGUGUUUUCCGCGUUGGACCGCACACAAGUCUGUUGGAAUACAGCGGCAUAGUGGUGAAACCCCCGUAUAUGGUGCGGACGCCCAGCGCUUUGUGAUACACUUUCAAUGAGUCGAGUUGUUUGGGAAUGCAGCUCAAAUUGGGUGGUAAAUUCCAUCUAAAGCUAAAUAUUGGCGAGAGACCGAUAGCGAACAAGUACCGUGAGGGAAAGAUGAAAAGCACUUUGGAAAGAGAGUUAACAGUACGUGAAAUUGUUGGAAGGGAAACGCUUGAAGUCAGACUUGCUUGCCGGAGCUUGCUUCGGUUUGCAGGCCAGCAUCAGUUUUCCGGGGUGGAUAAUGACGGUUUGAAGGUAGCAGUCUCGGCUGUGUUAUAGCUUUCCGUUGGAUACAUCCUGGGGGACUGAGGAACGCAGCGUGCUUUUUGCGAAAGACUCGUCUUUUUCACGCUUAGGAUGCUGGUGGAAUGGCUUUAAACGACCCGUCUAA